Molecule: transfer RNA, 72 nt
Filed under: Camelus bactrianus (Bactrian camel)
Lineage: Eukaryota; Metazoa; Chordata; Mammalia; Artiodactyla; Camelidae
Also listed under: 2 other names
Rfam family: tRNA
About the family: Transfer RNA (tRNA) molecules are approximately 80 nucleotides in length. Their secondary structure includes four short double-helical elements and three loops (D, anti-codon, and T loops).
Source: Rfam by way of RNAcentral
GAGAAUAUAGCUCAGUGGUAGAGUGCAUACUUAGCAUGCACAAGGUCCUGGGUUCAAUCUCCAGUACAUUCA